Molecule: ribosomal RNA, 480 nt
Filed under: uncultured bacterium
Lineage: Bacteria
Description: SSU rRNA
Rfam family: Bacterial small subunit ribosomal RNA
Source: RNAcentral
AGGACGAACGCUGGCGGCGUGCCUAACACAUGCAAGUCGAACGAGGUCCAACCGGUGGCAACACUGGUGAAGACCGAGUGGCGAACGGGUGAGUAACACGUGAGCAACCUGCCUCGAAGACUGGGAUAACCCCGGGAAACCGGAGCUAAUACCGGAUACCCCCACCGGGUCGCAUGGCCUGGUGAGGAAAUGGAUUCCGCUUUGAGAGGGGCUCGCGGCCUAUCAGCUUGAUGGUGGGGUAAUGGCCUACCAUGGCACCGACGGGUAGCUGGUCUGAGAGGACGAUCAGCCACACUGGGACUGAGACACGGCCCAGACUCCUACGGGAGGCAGCAGUGGGGAAUCUUGCGCAAUGGGCGAAAGCCUGACGCAGCAACGCCGCGUGUGGGACGAAGGCCUUCGUGGGUUGUAAACCACUUUCAGCAGGGACGAUUGUGACGGUACUGCAGAGAGCCCCGGCAACUACGUGCCAGCAGCCGC